Molecule: ribosomal RNA, 577 nt
Filed under: Campostoma anomalum (central stoneroller)
Lineage: Eukaryota; Metazoa; Chordata; Actinopteri; Cypriniformes; Leuciscidae
Description: partial large subunit ribosomal RNA
Rfam family: Bacterial large subunit ribosomal RNA
Source: RNAcentral
CGCCUCCUGCAACUAGAUUGAGUAUAGGAGGUCCAGCCUGCCCAGUGACUACGGGUUUAACGGCCGCGGUAUUUUGACCGUGCAAAGGUAGCGCAAUCACUUGUCUCUUAAAUAGAGACCUGUAUGAAUGGCUAGACGAGGGCUUAACUGUCUCCCCCCUUCAGUCAGUGAAAUUGAUCUAUCCGUGCAGAAGCGGGUAUAUUACUACAAGACGAGAAGACCCUUUGGAGCUUAAGGUAUAAAAUUCAACCACGUUAAACGACUCCAUAAGAAGCAAGAACUUAGUGGCCGUGAAAUUUUACCUUCGGUUGGGGCGACCACGGAGUAAAAGUUAACCUCCGAGUGGACUGGGCCAAACCCCUAGAACUAAGAGAGACAUCUCUAAGCCACAGAACAUCUGACCUAUAAUGAUCCGACUACAGUAGUCGAUCAACGAACCAAGUUACCCUAGGGAUAACAGCGCAAUCCUCUCCCAGAGCCCAUAUCAACGAGAGGGUUUACGACCUCGAUGUUGGAUCAGGACAUCCUAAUGGUGCAGCCGCUAUUAAGGGUUCGUUUGUUCAACGAUUAAAGUCCU